Symphalangus syndactylus (siamang) is the source of this 1295-nucleotide long non-coding RNA. RefSeq lists it as uncharacterized. NCBI's taxonomy places the organism in Eukaryota, Metazoa, Chordata, Mammalia, Primates, Hylobatidae. The record is from RefSeq and is a predicted model, not a curated record.
GACUCCAGGCACUGUGUCAUCAAGAGACUGAAGGGGACAAGAGUAGAAACGGAUAACCACUUUGGAGUCUACUGUAGCAGUUCUGGUAACAGAUGAUGACGUCGGCCAGUAACAGCAGAAGUGAAAAGAUGUGGUAGAUUAUGGGUAUAUUGUGAGGGUAAAUCUAUUUGACCUUUUUUAUGGUGUGAGAAGGAAAGGAGAAGCAUGGACGACUCUAAGGAAAACUUGAUUUGAUGUGAGCUAAAAGGGGGAAGAAAAGUAAAAAGCAGGUAAAGUUCAGAGACCCGCUCUAGACAUGAUAAAUUAAAUGUACCCAUGAAACUCCAAGGGCAGAUGUCAAGAGAGCAGUUGCAUGUAUGUGUCUGGAUUUCAUGAGAAAGAUCCAGAUUGAUAAUCAUUAAUGUGUUAUUAGGGCUUAAAACCAAGAGAUUCAAUAAGAUUACCAAGGAAAUGAGUGUAACUACAGAAAAGAAGAAGAUCAUGUACUGAGCCGAGGAAAACUCCAAUAUUAAAACGAGGGAGGUAGAGUGGAAUCAGUAAAGACUAAGGAAUGGUCAAUAAGGAGGAUGAAAACCAGGAGAGAGUGGUGUCUUGAAAGCCCAGUGAAAAAAGCACUUCAAAAAGAAAGUAAAUAUGUGAUUUAUCAGGUUGAAUGCUGCUGAAAGGACAAAUAAAAUGAGGACUGAGAAUUUGACCUUUGGCUUUAGUAACUUGAAAUCAUUGUUGACAAGAGCACCUUUACUAAAAUGAUAGAAACAGAGACAUAAUUUGAGUGGGUUUAAAAGAGAAUGAGAAAGGAGGAACUAGAAGUACAGACUAUAUGCCAUAGUUUUGAGGGGUUUUGUGAUAGAGGAGAGCAAAGAAAUGGAGUGAUAGGCUACAGGGAAAAAUAGGGUAAAGAGAGGGUUUAUUUGAGAUUAUUAAAAUAAUAGCAUAUAUGUAGAUGAAUGAAAAUAAUUCAACUGGAGAAAAAAAUUGAUGAUGCAAGAGAGGAGCAUUUCUGGGGUAAUAUUCCUGAGAAUGUGAGAAGGCUGGAAUCUGAUAAACAAUUGAAGAGGUUGUCCUUACUAGGAACACGGACACCUCAUCUACAGCAAAAGGAAAAUACAGAUAUUUUGCCCUUUUGGAAACUGAAGAUAAAAUAGAACAAGAAAAGAAUUUUAAGAUAUGUUAAUCUAGCAAAACUAACAUAAGAAUGGCCACCUUGAAUUUCAUGAAAUUUUGCCACAGAGCAAUACUAAAAACUGAAUGAUUAUGCCUUUUUCCGUAUUUUAAUUAAAGCUGAAAUGAAAAUA